This 156-nucleotide ribosomal RNA is filed under the name Gossypium arboreum. RNAcentral describes it as "5.8S ribosomal RNA". It matches the Rfam family "5.8S ribosomal RNA". From Rfam's summary of the family: 5.8S ribosomal RNA (5.8S rRNA) is a component of the large subunit of the eukaryotic ribosome. It is transcribed by RNA polymerase I as part of the 45S precursor that also contains 18S and 28S rRNA. The record is from Rfam by way of RNAcentral. Lineage: Eukaryota; Viridiplantae; Streptophyta; Magnoliopsida; Malvales; Malvaceae.
GACUCUCGGCAACGAAUGUCUCGGCUCUCGCAUCGAUGAAGAACGUAGCGAAAUGCGAUACUUGGUGUGAAUUGCAAAAUCCCGUGAACCAUCGAGUCUUUGAACGCAAGUUACGCCCCAAGCCAUUAGGCCGAGGGCACGUCUGCCUGGGUGUCA